Molecule: long non-coding RNA, 334 nt
Organism: Poecile atricapillus (Black-capped chickadee)
Lineage: Eukaryota; Metazoa; Chordata; Aves; Passeriformes; Paridae
Exons: 2
Source: RefSeq, a predicted model, not a curated record
GAAAAGCUGGGAGUGGAAAACCUGGGAUGGGAAACCUGGGAUGGGAUAUACGGACCCCAUUGGAACAGCUGGGAUGGGGACACGGGCCAGAGGGACACCAGGCACAGGGACAGUGGGAAAAGGGACAUUUUUGGGAGGGGGAAGGGAUCCUUGGGAACAGGAUGCCCGGAACUGGGUCACCCGGGACGGGGCCAAAAUCCGGGAACAGGGACACCAAUCCAACCUCCAGCGGGACGGGAACAGCCUCCAGCAGCGCGACCUGGCGCUGUCCCCUCCCUGCCCUGCCCUGCCCACCUGUCCGUGUGUCCGUCCAUGGCUCCGGCCCGCUGCUCCC